CUCUGUACAUGCCUCUAGCCACGCCCAAAGUGGGCAUGGCUAGUGGCAUAGUUCACCGCCCUUUCAUUACUACAUCAGUUUGUUAGUGGGGCAGUCCUAAAGUCUCCUCCUACACCAUGCAGUCUCUCAGUAGGCUGUAGCGGACUUGCUAAUGUCUCCUGGCUUAAGGCUGGGUGGAGAUGGAACUCUCCAGUACGGCCAUUGUGGAAAGCCUUAAUAUUGGGUCAAAGCAUCUCCAUCUGGUUGGAUCAGCAGCCCACUAACAGAAGAGACAAAUGACCCACUCAGAGUGGAAAUCGAUUCCCACUGAACAGGUUCAUUUUCAUUUGGCUGAACUAUUCCCAAGGCGUCUGAAAGGAAACGCUGCCAUGCGAGCAGCCCCGUUUGACACAAACCUGAAAACCAAACGAUCUUGAAUGUUGAAGGGCUCUGCCUCAAUGAGGAGAGGUCAUGGGAGGAGCCCACUGGGAUCUGUAACUAAGCCAGAGGUGGUAGAAGACAAUGUUCAACGAGUCCAGCCAGUGGCCUGCCUCAGGUAUCAGAACCAGAGCAGAACGGCGUGAACACAAGCUGAGGUUAUUGUCACAACGUCUCUGAGCAUCAGGCCAGCGUCUAUGCUCAGGACACCUUGAAACUCUUCAUCACACUCUAGUGAGGACCACAUGGACUUCUGUGACAAUGCAUGGAAUGUACUUUGAGCGAAGGAGGCUUGUUACCUAAUUGGCUUGAAGAAGAUGAAGAUGGAGACAACAGGCGAGAGGAAGAAACCAUGAAGGAGGAUACAGACAGUGUGAUGGUUAACAUUGUCAACGCUAACAUUAUCAGCUUAACACAACCCAGACUCACCUGGGAAGUUUCAAUAAAGGGUUGUCUGUA
Molecule: long non-coding RNA, 876 nt
Organism: Mesocricetus auratus (golden hamster)
Lineage: Eukaryota; Metazoa; Chordata; Mammalia; Rodentia; Cricetidae
Exons: 4
Source: RefSeq, a predicted model, not a curated record